CCAUGGAAAAGUCUAAAGACUUCUCAAAGCAGAAAUACUUGCUUUGUUCAUUGAAGAGGAGGAGAAGAUCGCUGCUGCAGUGGGACAGCAGCUGUCACGGUCCGUGGUCCUGCGUCUGUGG
Long non-coding RNA from Pelmatolapia mariae (spotted tilapia), 121 nucleotides. RefSeq lists it as uncharacterized. Lineage: Eukaryota; Metazoa; Chordata; Actinopteri; Cichliformes; Cichlidae. The record is from RefSeq and is a predicted model, not a curated record. The transcript has 3 exons.